RNAcentral lists this ribosomal RNA (393 nucleotides) under uncultured bacterium. Its description in RNAcentral is "partial 16S ribosomal RNA". It matches the Rfam family "Bacterial small subunit ribosomal RNA", at positions 523 to 918 of the family's 1533-position model. The record is from RNAcentral.
AUACGGAGGAUCCUAGUGUUAUCCGGAUUUAUUGGGUUUAAAGGGAGCGUAGGCGGGAGGUCAAGUCAGCUGUGAAAUGUAUCUGCUUAACGGGUACACUGCAGUUGAAACUGGUUUUCUUGAGUGCGUAAGAGGCAGGCGGAAUUCGUUGUGUAGCGGUGAAAUGCUUAGAUAUGACGAGGAACUCCUAUUGCGAAGGCAGCUUGCUGGGUCGUUACUGACGCUGAUGCUCGAAGGUGCGGGGAUCAAACAGGAUUAGAUACCCUGGUAGUCCGCACAGUAAACUAUGGAUACUCUCUGCCGGCGAUAUAUUGUCGGUGGCCAAGCGAAAGCGUUAAGUAUCCCACCUGGGGAGUACGUUCGCAAGAAUGAAACUAAAAUGAAUUGACGGGG